RNAcentral lists this ribosomal RNA (434 nucleotides) under Artemia urmiana. Its description in RNAcentral is "partial large subunit ribosomal RNA". It matches the Rfam family "Archaeal large subunit ribosomal RNA", at positions 2000 to 2650 of the family's 2987-position model. Lineage: Eukaryota; Metazoa; Arthropoda; Branchiopoda; Anostraca; Artemiidae. The record is from RNAcentral.
UUAAAGGGCCGUGGUAUACUGACCAUGCGAAGGUAGCAUAAUCAUUAGCCUUUUGAUUUGAGGCUGGAAUGAAUGGUCUGACGAGAGGCAACCUGUCUCCUCAAUUAACUUGAAUUUAAUCUUUAAGUGAAAAAGCUUAAAUAGCCUUGGAGGACGAUAAGACCCUAUAGAUCUUUACAUCCGGCUCUUUCAUCUAACGGUGGGUAAUCGGGUGGAAGAGAAGGAUGUUUGGUUGGGGCGACGUCGAGAGGAGAAUAAACACUCGAGAAUAUACAUACAUCAAUAAAUGAUCAUUGAUCCUUAGAUGAAAAUAGAGUAAGUUACCUUAGGGAUAACAGCGUAAUUCUUUUUGAGAGCUCAAAUCGACAAAAGAGUUUGCGACCUCGAUGUUGGUUCAGGGACCCUAUUUGGUGCAGCAGCUUAAUCAGGUAGUC